Molecule: ribosomal RNA, 783 nt
Filed under: uncultured Neocallimastigales
Lineage: Eukaryota; Fungi; Neocallimastigomycota; Neocallimastigomycetes; Neocallimastigales
Description: partial large subunit ribosomal RNA
Rfam family: Eukaryotic large subunit ribosomal RNA
Source: RNAcentral
UGAGACUCUGUGCGCGUGCAUAUCAAUAAGCGGAGGAAAAGAAACUAACAAGGAUUCCCUUAGUAACGGCGAGUGAAGCGGGAAGAGCUCAAAUUUGAAAUCUUCAAGGUUCUACCUUGACGAAUUGUAGUUUAUAGAAGUGUUUUCUGUUAGUAGAGUGGCAAAAGUUCUUUGGAAUAGGACAUCAUAGAGGGUGAGAAUCCCGUAUUUGUACAGUUACUUUCUAGCUGUGUGAUACACUUUCAACGAGUCGGAUUGUUUGGGAAUGCAGUCCAAGAUGGGUGGUAAAUUUCAUCUAAAGCUAAAUAUUGGCGAGAGACCGAUAGCGAACAAGUACCGUGAGGGAAAGAUGAAAAGAACUUUGAAAAGAGAGUUAAACAGUACGUGAAAUUGUCAAAAGGGAAGCGUUUGACACCAGUGUUGUUUCGUCGAAAAUCAAUUACAAUAGUUUUGAUUUUAAGUAGUUAUGACUUCAUCAGCUUGCUGCCUUUCUUUACAGAAACUUUCUUGAAUGCACUUUUCAGUUAACAAGUCAACAUCAAUUUCUUUUGUUGUAAAAGGGUAUGAGGAAGGUGGCUUGCGCUUUCGGAUAAAGUGUUUAUAGCCUUUAUCCUCUGCAAUCGGAGAGAUUGAGGUCUGCAGCGUAGAUCCUUCGGGGUUAGAUACAUUGGUGCUAAGUUAUAGCUUGUCAUAGACAACUUGUUGACUAUGUUCAGUCAUUGUAGCUUACUCGCUGACUGCUAUUUUACCUACGCUUAGGAUGUUGACAGCAGUAUAGACUGU